CCUACGGGUGGCAGCAGUGGGGAAUAUUGCACAAUGGGGGAAACCCUGAUGCAGCGACGCCGCGUGAGUGAAGAAGUCUUUCGGUAUGUAAAGCUCUCUCAGCAGGGAAGAAGAAAGGCGGUCCCUGACUGAGACGCCCCGGCUCCCUACGUGCCAGCACCCGCGGUAACUAGGAGGGGGCAAGCGUUAUACGGAUUAAGUGGGUGUAAAGGGAGCGUAGACGGCUGUGCAAGUCUGGAGUGAAAGACUAGGGGUCAACCCUGGGACGGCUGUGGAAACUGCGGAGCUAGAGUGCGGGAGAGGUAAGUGGAAUUCGUAGUGUAGCGGUGAAAUGCGUAGAUAUUAGGAGGAACACCAGUGGCGAAGGCGGCUUACUGGACAGUAACUGACGUUGAGGCUCGAAAGCGUGGGGAGCAAACAGGAUUAGAUACCCGUGUAGUC
Molecule: ribosomal RNA, 441 nt
Filed under: uncultured bacterium
Lineage: Bacteria
Description: partial 16S ribosomal RNA
Rfam family: Bacterial small subunit ribosomal RNA
Source: RNAcentral